RNAcentral lists this ribosomal RNA (402 nucleotides) under uncultured bacterium. RNAcentral describes it as "bacterial SSU rRNA". It matches the Rfam family "Bacterial small subunit ribosomal RNA", at positions 355 to 774 of the family's 1533-position model. The record is from RNAcentral.
UGAGGAAUCUUGCACAAUGGGCGCAAGCCUGAUGCAGCAACGCCGCGUGGGGGAGGAAGCCUUUCGAGGUGUAAACCCCUUUUCGGGGGGAUGAGAACGGACAGUACCCCCGGAAUAAGCCACGGCUAACUCCGUGCCAGCAGCCGCGGUAAGACGGAGGUGGCAAGCGUUAUCCGGAAUUACUGGGCGUAAAGGGCCCGCAGGCGGUCAGGCAAGUCGGCUGUGAAAGCUCUGGCUCAACUGGGAGAGGUCAGUCGAAACUGCGUGGCUAGAGGAUCGGAGAGGGGUGCGGAAUUCCGGGUGUAGCGGUGAAAUGCGCAGAUAUCAGGAGGAACACCAAUGGCGAAGGCAGCACCCUAGCCGAUACCGGACGCUGAGGGGCGACAGCGUGGGUAGCGAUCG